Molecule: ribosomal RNA, 1464 nt
Filed under: uncultured bacterium
Lineage: Bacteria
Description: bacterial SSU rRNA
Rfam family: Bacterial small subunit ribosomal RNA
Source: RNAcentral
AGAUUGAACGCUGGCGGCAGGCUUAACACAUGCAAGUCGAGCGGAGAUGAGGUGCUUGCACCUUAUCUUAGCGGCGGACGGGUGAGUAAUGCUUAGGAAUCUGCCUAUUAGUGGGGGACAACAUUCCGAAAGGAAUGCUAAUACCGCAUACGCCCUACGGGGGAAAGCAGGGGAUCUUCGGACCUUGCGCUAAUAGAUGAGCCUAAGUCGGAUUAGCUGGUUGGUGGGGUAAAGGCCUACCAAGGNGACGAUCUGUAGAGGGUCUGAGAGGAUGAUCCGCCACACUGGGACUGAGACACGGCCCAGACUCCUACGGGAGGCAGCAGUGGGGAAUAUUGGACAAUGGGCGGAAGCCUGAUCCAGCCAUGCCGCGUGUGUGAAGAAGGCCUUUUGGUUGUAAAGCACUUUAAGCGAGGAGGAGGCUACUUAGAUUAAUACUCUAGGAUAGUGGACGUUACUCGCAGAAUAAGCACCGGCUAACUCUGUGCCAGCAGCCGCGGUAAUACAGAGGGUGCGAGCGUUAAUCGGAUUUACUGGGCGUAAAGCGUGCGUAGGCGGCUGAUUAAGUCGGAUGUGAAAUCCCUGAGCUUAACUUAGGAAUUGCAUUCGAUACUGGUCAGCUAGAGUAUGGGAGAGGAUGGUAGAAUUCCAGGUGUAGCGGUGAAAUGCGUAGAGAUCUGGAGGAAUACCGAUGGCGAAGGCAGCCAUCUGGCCUAAUACUGACGCUGAGGUACGAAAGCAUGGGGAGCAAACAGGAUUAGAUACCCUGGUAGUCCAUGCCGUAAACGAUGUCUACUAGCCGUUGGGGCCUUUGAGGCUUUAGUGGCGCAGCUAACGCGAUAAGUAGACCGCCUGGGGAGUACGGUCGCAAGACUAAAACUCAAAUGAAUUGACGGGGGCCCGCACAAGCGGUGGAGCAUGUGGUUUAAUUCGAUGCAACGCGAAGAACCUUACCUGGCCUUGACAUAGUAAGAACUUUCCAGAGAUGGAUUGGUGCCUUCGGGAACUUACAUACAGGUGCUGCAUGGCUGUCGUCAGCUCGUGUCGUGAGAUGUUGGGUUAAGUCCCGCAACGAGCGCAACCCUUUUCCUUAUUUGCCAGCGAGUAAUGUCGGGAACUUUAAGGAUACUGCCAGUGACAAACUGGAGGAAGGCGGGGACGACGUCAAGUCAUCAUGGCCCUUACGGCCAGGGCUACACACGUGCUACAAUGGUCGGUACAAAGGGUUGCUACCUAGCGAUAGGAUGCUAAUCUCAAAAAGCCGAUCGUAGUCCGGAUUGGAGUCUGCAACUCGACUCCAUGAAGUCGGAAUCGCUAGUAAUCGCGGAUCAGAAUGCCGCGGUGAAUACGUUCCCGGGCCUUGUACACACCGCCCGUCACACCAUGGGAGUUUGUUNCACCAGAAGUAGGUAGUCUAACCGCAAGGAGGACGCUUACCACGGUGUGGCCGAUGACUGGGGUGAA